ACUCCUACGGGAGGCAGCAGUGAGGAAUAUUGGUCAAUGGAGGGAACUCUGAACCAGCCAUCCCGCGUGUAGGAAGACGGCCUUAUGGGUUGUAAACUACUUUUAUACAGGAAGAAACGUACCCUCGUGAGGGUGCCUGACGGUACUGUAGGAAUAAGCACCGGCUAACUCCGUGCCAGCAGCCGCGGUAAUACGGAGGGUGCGAGCGUUAAUCGGAAUUACUGGGCGUAAAGCGUGCGUAGGCGGCUUGGUAAGCCGGUUGUGAAAGCCCCGGGCUCAACCUGGGAACGGCAUCCGGAACUGUCAGGCUAGAGUGCAGGAGAGGAAGGUAGAAUUCCCGGUGUAGCGGUGAAAUGCGUAGAGAUCGGGAGGAAUACCAGUGGCGAAGGCGGCCUUCUGGACUGACACUGACGCUGAGGUACGAAGCGUGGGUAGCAAACAGGAUUAGAUACCCUGGUAGGCUCUGC
Molecule: ribosomal RNA, 467 nt
Filed under: uncultured bacterium
Lineage: Bacteria
Description: bacterial SSU rRNA
Rfam family: Bacterial small subunit ribosomal RNA
Source: RNAcentral